UGGAAUAGUGAUGAAUGCUGUCUUUGUAAGAUGGAUGGGAGCUUAAUAUGCUGUGAUGGUUGUCCUGCUGCCUUUCAUUCAAAGUGUGUAGGUGUUGCCAAUGAUUAUUUGCCAGAGGGUGGUUCUGCCCUGAGUGUGUCAUCGACAGGCAUAAGCCUUGGAUGAGACCUCGAAAGUCACUUCGAGGGGCGGACCUAUUGGGGGUUGAUUGUUAUGGUCGGGUUUUUUUUAGCAGC
RNAcentral lists this unclassified non-coding RNA (236 nucleotides) under Hevea brasiliensis (rubber tree). Lineage: Eukaryota; Viridiplantae; Streptophyta; Magnoliopsida; Malpighiales; Euphorbiaceae. The record is from RNAcentral.